UCAAAUCAAACAUGAAACAAAUUACAAAAUUAAGGCAAAAUGCAAAUUAUGGAUAUUUAUUCGAGUGUUUAUCAUGAAAAUUAGUAUUUAUCGCGUUUUUUAAUACAAAGUACAAAAUUGAAAAUGGAUUCUCUUUGUCGUUUAUGCUGUUCAUCAAAAUAUGUAAAUAAUGAUAUUUUUGACGACGACAAUGCUUUAUAUUUAAAAAUGUCUCUUUUACCAGUAAAGGUUUCGAAAUAUGAUCAGUUACCGAAAAGGAUUUGUAAUAAGUGUAGUUGUAAAGUUAAUGAUUUAUACCAAUUUUGUAAUGAGGCUAUCCAAGCUGAAACCAGAUUACGUAACUUAAAAGCAUCAGCAAGCAUAGUUGAUUUCGUUAUUAAAGAUGAAAUCGAUUGCCCAAUACCAAUUGUUACACAUUUAGACCAAACUACACAGACUGACAGUGAAAAUAAUAUAUCUAUAAAGAAAGAACCAAAAUCACCAACACUAUCAGGUACUAUACAAGUCAAACUUGAAAUUAACGAUAAUGGUGAUGAUAAUUCUUGUUCGGCAUCACCAGUUGCGCCAGAUGAUUGUGAUAAUCAGAGCCUUAGUGAGAAAAAUGAUAGGAGUGAAGUAGAAAAUUCGGAUGUGAAAUUAAAGAAGAGAAAUGUAAAGAGCCAACUUAAGUUUGAGGAAACCAAUUCAAUUGAUGAUGAUGCUCAUGAUAGUGACGACUCAAGUGUUACUUUAGAUUUGGUUAAGUCCGAGAUUGAAUGGGAUAAGGAAACAAAGAGCAAUGGAAAGCAGAAUUUAUAUUGUUGUAUAUGUUUUGAGAAGUUCGAUAAGACAAUACCUCUUUUAAAACAUUACAGACGCCAUGCGAAGGCAGCUGAAAAUCUGGAGACACUUCAACCGCCACCAUUCAAAAGAGAUCAGAGGUGUGGAAGAUGUCGUAAGCUACUAAAUGAUGAAAUACUAUGGAACGCACAUUGGCUUAGCCACUUCAAGAGGGACCGACAACCAUACAGGUGUUCUCUGUGUGAGAAGUCCUUCAAGAACCAUCAUACGAUACUUAAGCAUGGAAUGACACAUAAACUUGAGCCCUCUCAGAAGAUGAUAGCAGUACCAGAAAAGAGGUUCGUCUGUGAUAUAUGUCCUGAGGGAUUCCAUUAUAUGAGGAGUCUUCUGUCACACCGCUACCGCGCACACCCUGAUGCAGUAUCCCGCGUGAUGGUUCUCCGGUGCCCAGUGUGCGGGAGGGAGUUCUCCCAGAUGGCGUCUCUGCGCAGACAUCAGAAAUCCCACACGGGGGAGAAGAACUAUCUGUGCAAUGUUUGCGGGAAGGCAGUCUCCACCCAGGAGCAUCUCAAGUUCCAUUUGAGGAUACACGAGCAGUACAAGCCGUAUGUUUGCAAAACAUGCAAUAAGGGCUUCGUGAAGAAGUGCAACCUAAAACUGCAUGAGCGCGUGCAUUCAGGCGAGAAACCGCACGUGUGCUCGUGUUGUGGGAAGGCGUUUGCGCAGCGCUCCAGCCUGGUUGUACACGAGAGGUUACACACAGGCGAGCGACCGUACACUUGCCGAGUGUGUGGACGCGGAUUCGUCGCUCGCGGUCUUCUGACGUCACACGAGAAGACCUCCUGCGUGGAGCUUGGUCCGCCCCGGCCUGUCUCUGCCAACCCUCCUAUCAAUCUCUCUAUAUGAUAAAAUCGCCUUCCCAGAAUGGCCACAGUAGAUCAAUUUAAACAAUUUAAGAGAUAAGAAAAGAGACACUUCCAAAGGUUUUGGGACCAAAAGAUCAAGUAUAACGCAUAGUAUAUAAUAAUUUUAUUAGAUUAAAUAUAUUUUAUUUUCAAAGAUGAUAAACGUUUGUUAAUUAUGGAACAAAUAAUGGUCGGCGCUAAUGAUGGCCUAUUUUGAAUAUUUUCUAUUUGGCAUUAUUAAAGAUAUAUUAUGUAAUUUCAAAAAAUCAUUAGAAUGGCACACAGAACAAAGAGGAGUGGUACAGAAGUUUGACAUAGUCAACACCUUUGAAAGUAAUAGCUACUUUAGGUUCUCGCCUUUAAGAUUCAUUUUUCGUUAUUCUAUAUUUCAUAAUACAUUGAUAAAUUAGUUUACGCACACUACGGUCUAAUCGCACAUACUUAUUCAGGGCUGAGGCACAAUACAGUGAUAGAACAGAAGUGUAACUUAGUGGUCUCCUUGAAAUUUAUACCAAAGUCUGGGCGGGUGCGCUAGGGUUGGUUACGUGCACAAAGUAAAAUUACGAAUUGACGAUGCACUCAAUAGUUUUGUAUUCCCAAGAUUGCUUAGCGGCUGUGGAAAUUGUAUAUGUGUGCGUGCGUCGAUUUGGGCGCUUUUUUUAUGAAAAUAAGGUAUGAGAAGAACAUGACAUUCAGCUGAUGGUAAUUGAUACGCCAUACCCAAAGCAGUGCCGCUCAGGAUUCUUGAAAAACGCAAAAAUUCUGAGCGGCACUACAACUGCGCUUGUCACCUUGAGACAUAAGAUGUUAUGUCUCAUUUGCCCAGUAAUUUCACUAGCUACGGCGCCCUUCAGACCGAAACACAGUAAUGUUUACACAUUACUGCUUCGCGGCAGAUAUAGGUGCCGUUGUGGUACCCAUAAUCUAGCCGGCUUCCUGUGCAAAAGAGCCUCCCACUGGCUUUAGAAUGAAGUUGAAGUACUGUUCUAUUACUGUUUUGUAGCGUGAUUGUGAGCUCAUUCCUUAGUCUAAAAAAGUCCUUUAAAAAGUAUUUUAUUUAAAUGUGUAACACUUGCGUUAAUCAAAGAAGAAAAUGAGGGUAAUAAUGAAAAUAGUUUUAGAUUGCGUGACUAAACUGCCAAUUUUGUCAGUUUUGGAAUUAUUUAAUAUUCUUAUAUAAAUAUAAUUAUUAAUAGCAGUAAGAAAGUAUUGUUAUUUUAUUGCAAUUAUUUUAAAUUACAGAGUUCGUAUUAGCGAACCAUCGUACGGAGUUAUAAUGUGAUAUCUUGAAUUUUAAUUGUUUUAUCGAUAUGCUAAAUCAUAUGUUGCCAAGAUUUAUGAACGGUUCAAUAUCGGACAGUUGAUUCUAACCACAAACUUAAUAUACUACAGUAAUAGACGAACCCUGUGUGAAAGUGAGAUAAUUAUUAUCCUUACAUAAAAACCUAGGUGUGAGAAAGAGACGGAAUAGGUAAAGACCAUGAAACCGUUUUAAUUUAGUGUCCAUUAGUCUCCUGUCAAAUUGGACCGCGUUUUAAUUUUAGUAUUUAUAUCGGCAUUUUUCUGUGUUUUAACGGAUUAAAAAAUAUAAUGGUGUCGUGUUCUGUAUUGGAUUGUGUUGUUUAAUAUAGCAACAAUCCAACGAAAGAAACAUUUCACAGGUAAAUACCGAUUCCUCAAUACUACUUCCGUGAUGUUUAUUUUCGUAGAACAUAUGCACUAAAAUACUAAAUAUUACACAUUAUAUACGCAGUAAACACUAUUUUCUAAAGAUUAUAUUAAUUAAAAAACAUGUGUUAGAAAAUAAAAUAUUGUAUACGUGAAUAUGACGCUGUUUAUCAAUAUUUGUCAUAGGGAUUGACCAAAGGCAAAAUACACACUUCACUCUCUCAUUAACAAAUCUGUAAAACUAGUACACAUGAACAAUUUAAAUUUUGUCUCGUCGUUAUGAGGAGAGUGUUUGUCUAUUACCCUAGUAGGUAUACUAAGUUUAUUCCCAUCUCAAGCUGGUUCGAAUAGCAUCGUCCAUAAAUAUAAGUACGUAUAAAAAUCUGUACUUAUAUAAAGUUGUGUUCUAUUUGUUUGUCAAUUUUUUUCAGCUUUUUGUCACUUUUCAGUUUAAGCGGUGAGCACAAAGAAAGUUAUCAACACGGACGAGUAAAAAAAAGAAGGACUCCGCACCGUGAUAUUAGCAAGUGAAGCACCGUUAUGCUAGUGUGUGUGCGGUUACGUGGGAUACUAGUUAGAUAAUUUUUUCUCCCUUAAAUAAUCAUAUAUGGCAACAAAUACUUAUAAAGUAUCGUUUUUACACUAUUUCACAGCGCACGACGGCAUUUUUGAAAUAUUUUAUUGAGACGCAAACUGAUCUGUCACAGACGAUGACAAUUCUCAUAACGGCAGCCUAUCGGCCUGUAGUAGUGUAAGUGUGUGCGUGGGGCUAUGUAUUUACACAUUAAUCGGCUUGUUUUGGUGCUACACUGUAAUGUAAGGUGACACGGAGUCCUUAUUUUUUUACUAGUCCGUGGUUAACAAAUGAAAUUUGAAAACUUUCUGAAAAAAUUUUAUGAACGAUGCGGGUCUCGACAACUGACAACUCAGUUGGCAGAGCACUGGCACAGAACGCCGGAGGUCGUGGGUUCGAGUCCCGUAUCGUUCAUGAUUUUUUUUUUCAACUUUAUUUGUGUAUUAAUCCUAGAAGUGAGGGUUAUCACUUUAAAAACAUAAAAAGUUAGUUAAGUUAAAUGUAACCACCAAUUAAUUGUAGUUUUAACUGUAAGUGUAUUUGUUUCAUCAUAGAAAAAUGGUACCUAUGUGGUUGUAUAUUUUAUAUGUUGGCAUUUAUUUAGGAGUUGAACCAAUUUUGUAUGAUGACAAAAGUCAAGUGCCUGUUAAUGUAAGUACUUAUGUGAUUAAAAGUAAAUAACGAA
RNA transcript from Leptidea sinapis, 4612 nucleotides. It is a transcript of the gene named zinc finger protein 260-like, with no coding region annotated. The transcript has 11 exons. NCBI's taxonomy places the organism in Eukaryota, Metazoa, Arthropoda, Insecta, Lepidoptera, Pieridae. The record is from RefSeq and is a predicted model, not a curated record.